Molecule: non-coding RNA, 114 nt
Organism: Acanthosepion pharaonis
Lineage: Eukaryota; Metazoa; Mollusca; Cephalopoda; Sepiida; Sepiidae
Source: the annotation of a GenBank genome assembly
UUACAGCCAUAUCACCUUGAAACAUUGGUUCCCAUAAAAUCACCGAAGUUAAGUAACAUUGAGCCUGGUCAGUAUCUAGAUGGGUGGCCACUUGGGAAUACAAGGUGUUGGAAG